GUGGACUCAUAAAAUCUCAGCUAGGAGAUGAGGACCCACCUCAGGGCCAUGGGCUUGGCUUGCUAGGUCACGGAAGACAAGGAGUCUAAAGAAGUUUCUACCCAUUACCUCAUUUUCAAGCCAAUUUUGGAGAGAAUUAAAACUAAAUGAUAUUGUUAACCCCUUUAAAGUAUA
Molecule: long non-coding RNA, 174 nt
Organism: Grammomys surdaster
Lineage: Eukaryota; Metazoa; Chordata; Mammalia; Rodentia; Muridae
Exons: 3
Source: RefSeq, a predicted model, not a curated record